This 449-nucleotide long non-coding RNA is filed under the name Homo sapiens (human). Its description in RNAcentral is "HSALNT0330986". The record is from RNAcentral. Lineage: Eukaryota; Metazoa; Chordata; Mammalia; Primates; Hominidae.
CAGAAACAUGCACUGUGCCUGGAGACACAGCUCACAGGUGCUGGGCUCUGCAAGGGGAGAAGGAAAGAGACGGGCAGGGAACAGACAGAAAGAAAUGCAGGGAGAAAGCCAGAGAGUACGAGGGCCAGGGAGGAAGGGCUGCAGUGCUGGCUGAAAGUCCCUUUCAGGAGGGGACUCCAACACUGCACCACAUCUGUAUUUCUGCCCCUGUCCCCACCACGGGAAUGAACCCAAGCCAGUCUGAUUGAGGAAGAGAGGCCACAUAAAGCAGAGAUGAGUUUCCCAGCUAAGACCAUCCAAGACCAGCCAGCCCCCAGCUGACCCGCCAGCCAGCCCUGAACACAUAAGUAACACUCAGCUGUGAUCAGUUAAGCUGAGGUCAGAUCAGCAGAACUACCCAACCAACAACCAGUUGACUGAUGAGAAUAAACGAUUGUUGUUUUAAGCCA